This is a long non-coding RNA of Daucus carota subsp. sativus, 666 nucleotides long. RefSeq lists it as uncharacterized. The record is from RefSeq and is a predicted model, not a curated record. Lineage: Eukaryota; Viridiplantae; Streptophyta; Magnoliopsida; Apiales; Apiaceae. The transcript has 2 exons.
GCUGGGGUGCAGGUCGUGAUGGUGCACAAGGUAGUGGUGGCAGUAGUUGGUCAAGAACUUCAAGAAGCAGCGGGAAUGAUUGGCUGAUCAAUGAUAGAAGAUCUUCACGCUCACCAUCUUAUGGAGAUAGCGACAGGAGCUUUGGGGGUGCGUGUUUUACCUGCGGACAGUUUGGGCAUAGGGCAUCAGAAUGCCCCAAGAAGCUAGGUUUUUAGAUAUUGAUAUGACAAUCCUGUUGCUGCUGGCUUGUGAAUUGGCGAAAGGCUACCGCUACUUCAUUACCAUUAUUUCUGUCUCCUAUAUCGUUAUUCGCCUGAAGAUGAUCAAGAGGUCCAAAAAGCUGAUAAAAUUAAUGCUGGACAAUAUUAGGGACUGUGAUGCAGCUUCACUGUUCUCUGCUUCAGUCCUCCGUCCUCCAAACAUACAGCAGUCAAACUACAUAGCAUACGGGUUUAAUGUGAUUUUGCUUUGCUGAUUUUGUCAUAUUUAGUGUUAACCUUCGUAUAAACUAAACUUGAUUGCCGAGGCAAUAGUAUGUUUACAAAUUUUGUUGUUUGCUUUUCUACUCCCUGUACGUAAGAAACUUUAGAUUGAAUAGAUUAGGUAUUUGAUCUUUUACAUGUGCUUGUGGCUAGAUAUAGACCGAUAAGUUUCUUUAGGUUUCAA